This 468-nucleotide ribosomal RNA is filed under the name uncultured bacterium. RNAcentral's name for it is "partial 16S ribosomal RNA". It matches the Rfam family "Bacterial small subunit ribosomal RNA", at positions 28 to 507 of the family's 1533-position model. The record is from RNAcentral.
GACGAACGCUGGCGGCGUGCUUAACACAUGCAAGUCGAACGGAAAGGCCCUGCUUUUGUGGGGUGCUCGAGUGGCGAACGGGUGAGUAACACGUGAGUAACCUGCCCUUGACUUUGGGAUAACUUCAGGAAACUGGGGCUAAUACCGGAUAGGAGCUCCUGCUGCAUGGUGGGGGUUGGAAAGUUUCGGCGGUUGGGGAUGGACUCGCGGCUUAUCAGCUUGUUGGUGGGGUAGUGGCUUACCAAGGCUUUGACGGGUAGCCGGCCUGAGAGGGUGACCGGCCACAUUGGGACUGGGAUGCGGCCCAGACUCCUACGGGAGGCAGCAGUGGGGAAUAUUGCACAAUGGGCGGAAGCCUGAUGCAGCAACGCCGCGUGCGGGAUGACGGCCUUCGGGUUGUAAACCGCUUUCGCCUGUGACGAGGCGUGAGUGACGGUAAUGGGUAAAGAAGCACCGGCUAACUACGUG